This 363-nucleotide long non-coding RNA is filed under the name Cyanistes caeruleus (blue tit). Its description in RNAcentral is "lncRNA (ENSCCEG00000000554.1)". The record is from RNAcentral. Lineage: Eukaryota; Metazoa; Chordata; Aves; Passeriformes; Paridae.
GUGGCUAUUGAUUAUCACACCUGAAGCACCUUUUUCCUGGGCUUCCCCUGCCAGAACUCCAGCUGUCCACCAGCACCCACGCACUGAACGGUGCCACGCUCCGCACAUGGCUGCGGCUCAAUGGGGGGAAAGGCGCAUGAGAGCGUGUCAGGCAUUUUCCGAACCUGGCUAAUGCAACCCCUUAUGUUUUCUUUGGGAGCUCUGCUAAACCCGCUCGUCACAGAUGUGCGAAGUGUGAUAGCGUCCAUCCCCCUGCACCUCAUUAACGUUUCCUCCUGUGCAAGUGUGAAAAUGACUGGAGAGAAAAGAGGAAACUUAAGGUGCCAGGCUGGAGAAGACAUGGGCUCCCUCUUCUGCAGCUGA